AUGUUUGCGUUAGCACCACAUAUGCUAAAAUUGGAACAAUACAAAGCAGAUUAGUAUGGCCCCUGCAGUAUGACUGGCAAAUUUAUGAAGCAUUCCAUAUUUUU
Molecule: small nuclear RNA, 104 nt
Organism: Sciurus vulgaris (Eurasian red squirrel)
Lineage: Eukaryota; Metazoa; Chordata; Mammalia; Rodentia; Sciuridae
Source: Ensembl